UACAGAGGGUUCAAGCGUUGUUCGGAAUCACUGGGCGUAAAGAGCGCGCAGGCGGCUGGUCAAGUCCGAUGUGAAAUCUCCCGGCUCAACUGGGAAACUGCAUCGGAAACUGAUCGGCUUGAAGAUGGGAGAGGGUAGUGGAAUUCCCGGUGUAGUGGUGAAAUGCGUAGAUAUCGGGAGGAACACCGGUGGCGAAGGCGGGUCUCUGGGCCGAUACUGACGCUGAGGAGCGAAAGCGUGGGGAGCGAACAGG
RNAcentral lists this ribosomal RNA (253 nucleotides) under uncultured bacterium. RNAcentral's name for it is "partial 16S ribosomal RNA". It matches the Rfam family "Bacterial small subunit ribosomal RNA", at positions 524 to 776 of the family's 1533-position model. The record is from RNAcentral.